AGGACGAACGCUGGCGGCGUGCUUAACACAUGCAAGUCGAGCGGAAAGGCCCUUCGGGGUACUCGAGCGGCGAACGGGUGAGUAACACGUGAGUAAUCUGCCCCUAGCUCUGGGAUAGGCUCCGGGAAACCGGGGAUUAAUACUGGAUACGACCACCUUAGACCAUCUUUUGUGGUGGGAAAGAAUUUCGGCUAGGGAUGAGCUCGCGGCCUAUCAGCUUGUUGGUGGGGUAACGGCCUACCAAGGCGACGACGGGUA
This 258-nucleotide ribosomal RNA is filed under the name uncultured bacterium. Its description in RNAcentral is "partial small subunit ribosomal RNA". It matches the Rfam family "Bacterial small subunit ribosomal RNA", at positions 26 to 285 of the family's 1533-position model. The record is from RNAcentral.